RNAcentral lists this transfer RNA (76 nucleotides) under Acinetobacter bereziniae. Its description in RNAcentral is "tRNA-Arg". It matches the Rfam family "tRNA". Rfam says of the family: Transfer RNA (tRNA) molecules are approximately 80 nucleotides in length. The record is from RNAcentral. Lineage: Bacteria; Pseudomonadati; Pseudomonadota; Gammaproteobacteria; Moraxellales; Moraxellaceae.
GCGCCUUUAGCUUAACUGGAUAGAGCAGUUGCCUCCUAAGUGACCGACGUGGGUUCGAGUCCUUCAAAGCGCACCA